RNAcentral lists this ribosomal RNA (405 nucleotides) under uncultured bacterium. RNAcentral describes it as "partial 16S ribosomal RNA". It matches the Rfam family "Bacterial small subunit ribosomal RNA", at positions 28 to 526 of the family's 1533-position model. The record is from RNAcentral.
GAUGAACGCUGGCGGCGUGCCUAAUACAUGCAAGUCGAGCGAAGCGGGGACGGGUGAGUAACACGUGGAUAACCUCUUAUAAGACGGGGAUAACUUUGGGAACCCGGACCUAUACCGGUUACUUCUAGAUGGAUCUGGGCUGCAUUAGCUAGUUGGUAAGGUAACGGCUUACCAAGGCAACGUUGCAUAGCCGACCUGAGAGGGUGACCAGCCACACUGGAACUGAGACACGGUCCAGACUCCUACGGGAGGCAGCAGGAGGGAAUCUUCCGCAAUGGGCGAAAGCCUGACGGAGCAACGCCGCGUGAGUGAUGAAGGGCUUCGGAUCGUAAAGCUCUGUUAGCAGGGAAGCGGUACCUAAUCAGAAAGCCACGGCUAACUACGUGCCAGCAGCCGCGGUAAUUC